RNAcentral lists this long non-coding RNA (696 nucleotides) under Homo sapiens (human). RNAcentral describes it as "non-protein coding lnc-PERP-2:23". Lineage: Eukaryota; Metazoa; Chordata; Mammalia; Primates; Hominidae. The record is from RNAcentral.
ACUCCAACCUCUGCAGCAGUGACCUCAACUCCCAGCACUUCAAAACCCAGACAGAAACGUCCAACAAACUCCCAGUCCAGGAGCGCUGCAAAACCAACGCCAGUCUAGUUUGGGGUCUCUAUAAUCCUGCUCCUUUGGCUGCCAGCCAUCUCCAUAAAAAAAGAAUUUGAAAGGCUUCCAUUCUUUCAGAGACCUGUUUCCCGGGACUGGCUGCAAGGGAGAGAUGCACUGACCUUCUGCCAGGUAUAGAACUAUUGAAUGGUACAGUUUGAGAUCUUCGAAACCAUCAGGACUGAUCAUUUUCUGGCUACUUUCUACAUAGGAAUCCUAGAGUUCCUUGGAGAGGAUAUGAAGGUUAUUCUCAGGCCAUGCAGAUGGGCAAGAAAGGAUGUGCGUCCAUGGUUCCUCUUCAAAUCCAACCAAAACAGCCUUGCUUCCGUUGGCUUUAUAUAAUACUGCAACUCUUGAUAAUCUGAUUUAACACAAAUUUCCUCAUUGAGUUUCUCCUCAUGAAGAAACGGCCUCAGUGAGGUAAAUCGGAAUGCACAGGAGCACAUAGCAGGUUAGUGCAGACCAGAAAUCAAACCCAGGCUUUCUGACUGCUCAAUAGACCACAAUCUACCAUGCUACCAUGGAAACUUUAAAACAGAUGAAAGUAAAAACAAACAAACAACAACUUAAAAAAACAAAAACAAA